GCAGUACUGGGUGGCGACCGGCAAACGGGUGCGGAACACGUACGCAACCUUCCUUCAGGCGGGGAAUAGCCCAAAGAAAUUUGGAUUAAUACCCCAUAGGAAUGUAGUCUCGCAUGAGACAACAUUUAAAGAUUUAUCACUUGAAGAUGGGCGUGCGUCUGAUUAGGUAGUUGGUGAGGUAACGGCUCACCAAGCCGACGAUCAGUAACUGGCGUGAGAGCGCGACCAGUCACACGGGCACUGAGACACGGGCCCGACUCCUACGGGAGGCAGCAGUAAGGAAUAUUGGUCAAUGGACGCAAGUCUGAACCAGCCAUGCCGCGUGGAGGAUGAAUGCCCUCUGGGUUGUAAACUUCUUUUAUCUGGGACGAAACACUUCUUAUCUAAGGAGCUUGACGGUACCAGAUGAGUAAGCACCGGCUAACUCCGUGCCAGCAGCCGCGGUAAUACGGAGGGUGCAAGCGUUAUCCGGAUUCACUGGGUUUAAAGGGUGCGUAGGCGGAUAUGUAAGUCUGUGGUGAAAUCUCUGAGCUUAACUCACAAACUGCCGUGGAUACUAUAUGUCUUGAAUGUUGUGGAGGUUAGCGGAAUAUGUCAUGUAGCGGUGAAAUGCUUACAUAUGACAUAGAACACCGAUUGCGAAGGCAGCUGGCUACACAACUAUUGACGCUGAGGCACGAAAGCGUGUGGAUCAAACAGGAUUAGAUACCCUGGUAGUCCACGCCCUAAACGAUGGAUACUCGACAUUUGCGAUAUAUUGUAAGUGUCUG
RNAcentral lists this ribosomal RNA (770 nucleotides) under uncultured bacterium. RNAcentral describes it as "bacterial SSU rRNA". It matches the Rfam family "Bacterial small subunit ribosomal RNA", at positions 79 to 849 of the family's 1533-position model. The record is from RNAcentral.